UUGUAAUUGGAAUGAUAGAAAUUUAAACCCUUUUUAAAGUAUCAAUUGGAGGGCAAGUCUGGUGCCAGCAGCCGCGGUAAUUCCAGCUCCAAUAGCGUAUAUUAAAAUUGUUGCAGUUAAAAAGCUCGUAGUUGAAGUUCUGCUGAAAGUAACCGGUCUGCUUUUAAUAAAAGUGGUAUCUUGGUAUGUAUUUAGCAAUGAUGUCCUUUGAAGUGUUUUUUACUUUAUUGUAAUAAAGCAUAUUCAGGACUUUUACUUUGAGAAAAUUAGAGUGUUUCUAGCAGGCUGACGCUUUGAAUACUGCAGCAUGGAAUAAUAAGAUAGGAUUUUAGUUCUACAUUAUUGGUUUUAAGAGCUAAAUUAAUGAUUGAUAGGGACAGUUGGGGGCAUUUGUAUUUAACUGUCAGAGGUGAAAUUCUUAGAUUUGUUAAAGACAAACUACUGCGAAAGCAUUUGCCAAAGAUGUUUUCAUUAAUCAAGAACGAAAGUUAGGGGAUCGAAGACGAUCAGAUACCGUCGUAGUCUUAACUAUAAA
Molecule: ribosomal RNA, 535 nt
Filed under: uncultured Hepatozoon
Lineage: Eukaryota; Apicomplexa; Hepatozoidae
Description: bacterial SSU rRNA
Rfam family: Eukaryotic small subunit ribosomal RNA
Source: RNAcentral